This is a non-coding RNA of Burkholderia ambifaria MEX-5, 145 nucleotides long. Lineage: Bacteria; Pseudomonadati; Pseudomonadota; Betaproteobacteria; Burkholderiales; Burkholderiaceae. The record is from Rfam.
CCUGCUGCACAACCAGCAGUUGCCUACCGGGACGUGCGUGACUGGCAACGGUCGGGUAUGAAGCUCCCGGGACAAAGUACCCCUCGGAAGACGUUACAACCGGUGACGGUAUGACGACGCUGCAAGCCGCGAUGCGGCGUGAGGG